This 83-nucleotide transfer RNA is filed under the name Candidatus Magasanikbacteria bacterium RIFOXYD2_FULL_36_9. Its description in RNAcentral is "tRNA-Leu". It matches the Rfam family "tRNA". From Rfam's summary of the family: Transfer RNA (tRNA) molecules are approximately 80 nucleotides in length. Their secondary structure includes four short double-helical elements and three loops (D, anti-codon, and T loops). Lineage: Bacteria; Candidatus Magasanikiibacteriota. The record is from RNAcentral.
GCCCAGGUGGCGAAAUGGUAGACGCACAGCCUUGAGGUGGCUGCGACCGCAAGGUCAUGGAAGUUCAACUCUUCUCCUGGGCA